ACGUAGGACGCAAGCGUUAUCCGGAAUUACUGGGCGUAAAGGGCGUGUAGGCGGCACGGUAAGUCAACCGUGAAAGCUCCCGGCUAAACUGGGAGAGGUCGGAUGAGACUGCCGAGCUAGAGGGUCGUAGAGGGGUGUGGAAUUCCGGGUGUAGUGGUGAAAUGCGUAGAGAUCCGGAGGAACACCAGAGGCGAAAGCGACUCUCUGGUCCGAAACUGACGCUGAGUGUGCGAAAGCUAGGGGAGCAAACGG
This 252-nucleotide ribosomal RNA is filed under the name uncultured prokaryote. Its description in RNAcentral is "partial 16S ribosomal RNA". It matches the Rfam family "Bacterial small subunit ribosomal RNA", at positions 525 to 775 of the family's 1533-position model. The record is from RNAcentral.